AGUGGCCAUUCCGAUGGGCAGGAAUGGGCGUUCUGUAAAACCGUCGGCUCAGCCUACGCAAGUUCGAACCUUGCACCUGCCACUACCA
This 88-nucleotide transfer RNA is filed under the name Actinomycetota bacterium. Its description in RNAcentral is "tRNA-Tyr". The record is from RNAcentral. Lineage: Bacteria; Bacillati; Actinomycetota.